Molecule: ribosomal RNA, 433 nt
Filed under: uncultured bacterium
Lineage: Bacteria
Description: partial 16S ribosomal RNA
Rfam family: Bacterial small subunit ribosomal RNA
Source: RNAcentral
AACGAACGCUGGCGGCAUGCCUAACACAUGCAAGUCGAACGAGACCUUCGGGCCUUGUGGCGCACGGGUGCGUAACGCGUGGGAACCUGCCCUUAGGUUCGGAAUAACUCCCCGAAAGGGGUGCUAAUACCGGAUAAUGUCUUAGGACCAAAGAUUUAUCGCGUUUGGAUGGGCCCGCGUUGGAUUAGCUGGUUGGUAGGGUAAAAGCCUACCAAGGCGACGAUCCUUAGCUGGUCUGAGAGGAUGAUCAGCCACACUGGGGCUGAGACACGGCCCAGACUCCUACGGGAGGCAGCAGUGGGGAAUAUUGUACAAUGGGCGAAGGCCUGAUCCAGCAAUGCCGCGUAAGUGAUGAAGGCCUUAGUGUAGUAAAGCUCUUUUACCCGGGAUGAUAAUGACGGUACCGGGAGAAUAAGCUCCGGCUAACUCCGUG